This is a long non-coding RNA of Betta splendens (Siamese fighting fish), 3450 nucleotides long. RefSeq lists it as uncharacterized. The record is from RefSeq and is a predicted model, not a curated record. The transcript has 5 exons. Lineage: Eukaryota; Metazoa; Chordata; Actinopteri; Anabantiformes; Osphronemidae.
UAGAAUGCAGAGAAAGCAAAACGUCAGGGUUCUGCUGGUGAGAGGGAGGAGGAGAUAAUGGAUCUGUGUUUUCUCUGACUUGUAAGUCUUCGAGCACCACACGGCAGCCGUUCAAUGCUCCCUGGAGUGAAGUGACAUCAUCCUUCGCAGGAGGCAUGAAUCUCAUUUGUGGACAGUGAGAACAAGCCAACGGAUCUGAGCGCCUAAGUAAAGCCGUUUCACACAAGUGCUGAACCCCAGAACCUUUCAGGACUUUCAAUGGCAGUGAACAGCAGCUGGUCCUAUAGCAGUUCUGCACGGACAUCAAACAGAAUUUCUCCAACAUGCUACCUGGUCCUGGGUCUGUUUGAUGUGAGGGGGCUGAUGUGUGAAGGUGUCCUGUGUGCGAGUGAGUGGGCGUGUUGAUGGCGUCUGUCGGUCUGUCGGAUCAGUCUGGGCCUGGGGACAUACAAACGUUUCCAUCAGUAACGUGCAUCGCCCAGAAAUCAGAGGGAGACGUUCCUCCCUCCUCAGAUGGGGAAUGUCCAGUAGAGGCCUGUUUUGGGUUCAUACUGUGUGUGUGAGAGAGACUCAAAAGGAGCAGAAACGCAGUUAUGUUACUACUCCUUUCAUUCCGCAGUGGGAUCAUGGUUUGAAACUGACUACUUUAUAACACUUACUGAAGCCACAUGCAGAUUGUUUUGAUCUUGUGGUUGGAUGUAUUUUUGGUUAAGCUCACAUAAUAUCAUACACAUGCAGAGGUCUGACACUGGUCGCCUGCUGUUGCAUUUGAGGCAGAGGAAAUUGUAAGCAGAACAACAUAUUCCAUAAAGCUUUUCUUUUUCUUGGUUCUCUCUGUACUGUGGUGAUGCACAGUAACAACAGGAUGCUCAUAUCCCCCAGUCUGAAGCUUAUACACAGGUCUGAACAUGGGUGGAGUCAUCCGUCAGGUCGUAUAGGGAUCGAGAAACCAUCCAUUCACGCCACGGCCUCACUCUGGUCUGCAGAGUGACAUAAGUCACCUUGCAGACUGUAUAAGUUGGAGAAACAGGCGGAUCAAAAAACAUGAAGAAUCACAGUGAUCAGCCUGGAUAAGAAUUUGGAUUGAUCCUUUUUGAUUUCAGUUUUCAACAAUAAUUCAUCUUUGAUGCUUGUCUUUGUGUAGUAAACCUAGAGGAUACUUGAAUUGAGAUGCUGCAUUUUUGCCAACGUGUCGACUGUGGGACAGUCCCAGGUUUGCAAAAUGUGGAGACAAACCAAAGCCAGUGGAUUGAUGAACUAAAGAGAUCCAUCGUGUUUUGAAGGACAACAUAGUCAUAAAGUACAACUGAUAAAAAACAGAAGGUUCAGGUUCUGCACGAGAAAUGUUUAACCACAAACAACACUGGUUUUAAUUACACAUGAAGACACGUGAUCGUCACCUUAGCAGAAACAAAGAAAUUAACCUUUAUGGUAAUUGGUCUUCCAGGACUACAGUCUUGCUUCUCACAGUUUAACGCUCUGAAAUAAUCCUGCCUUUCCAUCCAUCCACCCAUUUUCCAGGGUCGCGGGUGGUGCUGGAGCCCAACCCAGCUGUCUUUGGGCGAGAGGCGGAGUCCACCCUGGACAGGUCGCCAGUCCAUCACAGGGCACAGACAGACAUUUACUGCCUUUCCACCUCUGCGUGGAUGGUGUCCUGCCUUCAUCUGCUCCCUCAGAGCUUCCAGCCCUUUGGAACAGCUGGCAUUUCACCAGACCUCCAACAGGAAAGCUGCAAACACUAAAGCAAAAGUUGAAAAUUACCAUUUUCUGUGUAGCAAAAUUGCUUUCUUUUUAUUUUGGAGGUGACAUUUUCGUCCUCAUGCAUCAUUUAUAUGCCCCCUAGAAAAUAGGAUGGGGGGAAAACGUCGAGGAGAUAGGAGAUGAAAUUAUAAAAAAGCAGACCUGUUCAGAUUAAAGCUUGUGCGUGUGGAGCUGCUGCUGCUGUCGGAUUUCAUUUGCUUCUAUCUGUGCAUGACUGCAUGUGUGUAAUUCCUGUUGCAUCGCAGAAUGUCACAAAUGUACAUAAAUGGAAACAGUGGUGCAUUCCAGGCCGCGUUGCAGGGCCAGGGGAUAAUUCUGCCUUUCAACUGCUUCCCAUUUAUUCCAGAGCUGCAGCACUGUCAUCUCAGCCUAGUCAAGAUGAAAAGCAUCGUUGUGUAAAGAAAUUGAAAUGAAAAUCCUCGUGGACCCAGCAGGAUGGAGAGGUGGGUGUGGAGCUCUGUACAUCUCAAGCAUGUGUUUUCUAUGGGGGCAUGUCUCGUUCUUGGAAUACUGAGGAAGAGGAGCAGUUCAAGCCACGCUGCUGCAGUCAGUUUCUGAAGCUGAAACCUGGGCUGACUCUCAACUAAUGCCUGCUGCAUGUGGGUGUGCAGACAAACAAGCUACAAGGGCUUUGGAAGGAUUUGUUAAUAAUGAAUGCUCUCCACUUUCGCUGCGGUGGAACAGAGUGGGGUUUCUCUGGGAGCGAGGCAGCAGCCUGCAGUCGUAUCCCACGCUGGGAUCGCCUUACCCCACACAGCUCGGCUUUGUUAUUGGAUCUCCUGGGUUGAAGGACACAGUGCAUCAUCUAGCCAGGCUUAAUGCAUGCAAGAUGUCCAAUCAACUCUGUUUGGUCAUUCCAGCCACGCCUAGCCUCCUUCCUGUAGGCCUCUGUGGCCAGACCUUGAAGAGCCCUCUGAUGAGCUCAGAAGGAGAUCUUUGUUUCCUGGAUCAGGAUUUAUUUAUGGUGUGGGCAGAAAUGUUGAUGCCCAUCAUGCUUCAGACAUGUUAAAUACUCCAUAACUUACUCCAUGGUAAAUCUGCUGACUCACACCCAGUACUGCAUCAUGCUACCUGACAUCGGUGGAUUCCAUCGUCAUUCAUAAAGAUUUUGAUAAUUAUAUAAUCCAUCCGUGCUUUUAGACCCACUGACGCCUAUCCCCUACUGCAGGUACAGUAGGUGCAUGUGGAUUGGAGCACAAAUAAUAGGUCGGGAGGAAUUUGUAAACCCCCCAUUCUUCCACAGGUGCCCAUAACAAACCUAAGUGUGAAGAGUUCCCUGAACUGCUAGACUGCAAAAUAAACCCACCUCGCUGAUGUUUGAAUUACUGAUCUUGUAGCCAUUACGAUUCCCCCUGGUGUAAACCAUAUCGCUCAACUGUCCUGGACAGAGGGGUCAUGUAGGGCUACAACAUCUGGGUGAUCCCCUGGCUGCUGAUCCACUCGUCAUCUGCACCAGCUGGUGUCCGUGUCUUUGUCAGGAACAACAACAACAACAAAGAUGAGGGGCUGCACUAGAUUUCUAUAAUGAUAGGGUCCCUGCUUUCAUCUCUUCAAUCUCUUUCUCAAUCAAAGAGAUUCAAGGUUUUUGGCCUUACACCGAAUUCAUCAUCAUAGCCAAGCCACGCCUCAGAAAUGCUCAUUGUCUUGUUUGCUUCUGCAAAAGUGAUGAAUCAAAAACUUAGUAAAACC